AUUGAACGCUGGCGGCAUGCCUUACACAUGCAAGUCGAACGGUAACAGGUUAAGCUGACGAGUGGCGAGCGGGCGAGUAAUGUAUCGGAACGUGCCCAGUCGCGGGGGAUAACUGCACGAAAGAGCAGCUAAUACCGCAUACGACCUGAGGGCGAAAGCGGGGGAUCGGAAGACCGCGCGCGAUUGGAGCGGCCGAGAUCAGAUUAGGUAGUUGGUGAGGUAAAGGCUCACCAAGCCGACGAGCUGUAGCGGGCCUGAGGGGAGGACCAGCCCCCCUGGGCCUGAGCCACGCCCCAGACUCCUACGGGGGGCAGCAGUGGGGAAUUUUCGACAAGGGCGGAAAGCCUAAUCCAGCCCUCCCGCGUGCGGGAAGAAGGCCUUCGGGUUGUAAACCGCUUUUGUCAGGGAAGAAAAGGUUCUGGCUAAUACCUGGAGCUCAUGACGGUACCUGAAGAAUAAGCACCGGCUAACUACGUG
Molecule: ribosomal RNA, 477 nt
Filed under: uncultured bacterium
Lineage: Bacteria
Description: partial 16S ribosomal RNA
Rfam family: Bacterial small subunit ribosomal RNA
Source: RNAcentral